RNAcentral lists this ribosomal RNA (492 nucleotides) under uncultured bacterium. RNAcentral's name for it is "partial 16S ribosomal RNA". It matches the Rfam family "Bacterial small subunit ribosomal RNA", at positions 28 to 507 of the family's 1533-position model. The record is from RNAcentral.
GAUGAACGCUGGCGGCGUGCCUAAUACAUGCAAGUCGAGCGGACGCACGAGAAGCUUUUUUCUCUGCUGUUAGCGGCGGACGGGUGAGUAACACGUGGAUAACCUACUUCUAUUUCUUGGAUAACUUCGGAAGACCGGUGCUAAUACCACCUAAUAUUUUCUACCGGCUAGUUCAAAAGUUCUUAGCACUUUUCCCGUUUCAUUUAGCCGUAGUUGGAUUAGCUAGUUGGCGAGGUAAAGUCCCACCAAGGCAACGAUGCAUAGCUGGUCUGAGAGGGUGAUCAGCCACACUGGAACUGAGACACGGUCCAGACUCCUACGGGAGGCAGCAGUAGGGAAUCUUGGGCAAUGGGCGCAAGCCUGAUGCAGCCAUACCGCGUGAGUGAUGAAGGCCUUCGGAUUGUAAAACCCUUUUAUUAGGGAAGAAAAGAUGUGGAUGUAAACGCGCACAUUUUGACGGUACCCAAACAGAAAGCCACGGCUAACUACGUG